Molecule: long non-coding RNA, 154 nt
Organism: Phyllostomus discolor (pale spear-nosed bat)
Lineage: Eukaryota; Metazoa; Chordata; Mammalia; Chiroptera; Phyllostomidae
Exons: 3
Source: RefSeq, a predicted model, not a curated record
UCCUGCUGCCGAAAAUAUUAGUACCACUACCCCACGCUGCACAGUAAUAGUCAGCCUCGUCCUGGGCCUGGGCCCUGCUGAUGGUCAGGGUGGCUGUGUUGCCUGAGCUGGAGCCUGAGAAUCGGUCAGGGAUCCCUGAGGGCCGGUUGCUAUC